AAAAUUCCGAAAAUCAUUCAGAAAAUCCAAAAAUUGAAAAAAACUGGCAGCAGCGUCGUUCCCCGCCGGAAAUCGCCCUUGAUUUUUCGUUCGGUCAUAUCUUCCUCCUCCGGCCACCAAUCUUCACCAAACUUCUUCCAUUAGCUUCAUAUGGUCCUUUCGCACCUGUAUGUGGAAGCCUUGAAUAGCGGCACGGCCUGUAUGGGCGGCGGCAAGCUUGUUCCGAUUUAAGCCUGAUUUUGAGUCAACGCCGAUAUCUCGAGUUCUAGACGAUAAAUCUUCGAGAUUCUUGGACAGAUGAACUCGGAUUGAAGUUCUGAAACAGUUCCAUGAAGAAAUUGAAGCGAGUGGUGGAAGUUUUUACGUCGAUCGGAGCACCUGCCGGUUUCUGGAAAAAAUCCGGCGAACCCGUGGCUUCUAGGUGAUUGACGGUCUUCCUUGGUGAGCGGUUUUGGUGUGUAUUGUGAAAGUGAAGACGCAGCGGGAUUAGAGCGGGUAAUCCUACAGGUCAGGAGAAUCGAGAAUGUGAUCAGGCUGCUUAGAGUAGUGGGAUUGGAGUUACAGCUUUAUUGUGAGGUUGUUAUGCUCAUUGAGCUUACAUUUAAAUUUGGUGAGAGUGUGUUGUAAUAUUAAAUUCUUGAGGAUUUGGUUUAUGUAUUAGUGAGUGAGGCUAGGUGUGUUUAUCUCUGAGAAAAAGAUUCAGAACGUUUAUUUGAUUAA
Molecule: long non-coding RNA, 720 nt
Organism: Rosa chinensis
Lineage: Eukaryota; Viridiplantae; Streptophyta; Magnoliopsida; Rosales; Rosaceae
Exons: 3
Source: RefSeq, a predicted model, not a curated record